CUACUGCACUAUAUUUAAAAAAAUUAUUUUUAUAAUUUAUAUAUAUUUAUUUUAUUACAAAUGCAAAACAACACCACAGAGGAAAUGACAUAAGCUUAAAUAAUAAACCAUGAUAGGUGAUCUGGGAUUACUGCAUUCUACUUAAUCUUUCAUUCUUGAUUAUUUUGCAAAUUAAUUGGAUGUUCAUUAGAAAUAUAGUUAUGAAAGAGUUAAACUGAUUUUAAUAAUGACAUGCAACCAUUAUGAGUAAUUUGUAGUUAGGCAAAUCAGGUCUUAUUUAAAUAACAUCUGCCUAAUGUUAUAAGUAACAGGUCUUCUGUUACAAGCAACUUCACAUUUCUGACAUUUGUGUUGAAAUUUUAGGCUUUGGAAGCCUCUUACAACUAUCAGUUUUUGUAGAAUUCAUAUACAUCCAUGGAUUGUUAUAGGAUAUGAGGAACUUUGUAUAAAUUAGAAUGAAUAGUAACUUUUUCAAUUUGGUGUAAAGCUAUCAGGCGAGAGUGUCACUGUAUUUCAUUGUUUUAUUGACCAGCUACAUACAGUGUGGCAUGUUUCUCAUAUGAAGACCACAAUUCUUUAACUGGAAGAAUUGUCUAAGAAUAUUAUUAAUGAAUCUAUAUACAAGUAAAAUUCAGAUGGUCAAGAAGCAGUUUGUGUGGGUCUUCUGAUCAGUGGAACCAGUGUUUUAUUAUGGGAAAUCGAAUAAUAAUUUGACAAGUUAGUAUGACUUGAUGAUACACAGCUGAAAAUAUAGAUUGAUUAUUCAGCUAAUAACACUUAUCUAUUUUUUAGUUUUGUUAGGAGUUUAACCUAAUGCAGGUCCAAGUAACUCAGUACCUUCAUUCUACCAGCAAAGGGUCAGUUGGCAUUAGUUUACAAAAGUAGUGUUUGAAGAUAUCUAUAACAAAUUUUUCCAUUGCAUAUUUUUUUUUAUCUAAAGAAAGAAUACUUUGUUGAUAUGGUUAAUAAUGUUGGUAUCACAAUUUUAUCAAGUAGGGUGGGGUGGGGAACUUGUUGAAGAUGCAUAAGGUAAGAUAUAGUGGGUAUUCAAAUGUAAAAAUCAUAUACAGUAAGGAGAAGGAAAAUGUGAUACUGGAAGUUGUGCAUGUUAUCAGAGAAAUAAUUGCUUUCGAAGGGUGUUACUGCUCAAUUGAAUAUUUGCCUCUACUGCUUAAAUAAAUUUUCAGCAUCCUAUUCUUACUGUGAAAUUAUACCUAUGAAAGUAUAAUCUAGUUCUAUUUUGACUAAGUUGUUUGAAGCCAAUGCAGACUAUUGCUGGACUCGUUUUAACUCUAUUCAUUAUCUUUCAAUAAUGUUCAUUUUUUUUUUGUUUUUCUAUAGUGUUAGGGAGUCUGAUGUAGGAAAAAACAGGAUUAGAGAGAGAGGUUGAUCUAGAGAUUUGAGAAUGAUUAGGCAUAGUAGUUAGAGCAGUAGCUGGGGGAAUGAUAGAGUAGUGAUAUAUAGAUAGGCCAUUGUAGAAAAAGUAGAACAUGGGUUAAAGGUUGUUGGAGUUAGCUUUCUGGGUUGUUGAAUCCUUGUCAAUCAGUUGGAUGGCUUUAAUGGAAGUGGAGGAAUAUGUUUUCGUGUAUAACAGUAAAAGUGUUUGAGAUAUGAGAGCAGUAUUCCACUGUAGGAUUCACUUGUGUUUUGAAGUGAGGCAUUGGUUGUUUGAAUCUGAGGAAGAAUGCUUGGCAUGAGGUCACUUUGGAGGAAAGAGAAUUGUUGAUUAUACCUAUUCCUACACCCCAACUUUUGACUCCCACCUACUUUAUCGACUUUGGAAUGAUAACUGGAAAAAAAUUGCUUAAAACAAUAGUAAAAUAAAAACAUUACAAAUUUGACAAAUGGCAAAAAUUAAGUUAGAAAAGCAAUUACUUUUGACAUCUUUAUCAAGGACAAUUAAACUCGUGACAACAGUGCCAACAGCAACAACACAACAAUAGGAAGUUCAACAAAUAGAAGAAAAUAACUUUAUUGGAUGGAGUGGAACUUUUUUUUUUUUUUUUUUUUUUUUUUUUUUUUUUUUGUUCAGUAAUGGUAAUAUUGUCCACAUUAUUCAUUUGUUGUGCAACGAGGUUUGAAGUGGAGUUGGACAUUUUGUAGCUGCAUAAUGUUUGAGGCAUUUUAUUGUUCUUGAUAAGAUGGCAUCACGUAAUUGACACAAGGAUUAAAUUGCAACAUAUCACCAUGGUAAUACUUUAGAUUCAAAUAAAAGAAUUAGAACAAAUCCUGUGCUUCGAUGCUUAUUGGCAAGCAUCUUAAGCAGCUUGAAAACCAGACAUACAGAAGUGAAAGAAAAUUGAAAGCAAGAUUGGAAAUUAAAAGCAAAGGCAUAAGGAAGUUGUAUGAAAUUCUAGGUUUGUGAAUUUUCAUUUGUUACUGCUAGAAUUACACAGUAGUUGGUAUCACAAGUGAAAAAGAAUCUUUAUUUUGCUGGUUUAUAACAGUAGCAGGCAUUUCAGCCUCCUGGUUUUGCUAAUAUGACUGAUUUUGCUAUAUUAACUGACAUUUAAUUGGUGUUGUUUUACUGCGGCUGCAAUUAGCAAUUUUAAUUCUGGGAUUUAAAGGCUGAAAUCAAUGUACCAUACAUUUCAAGAAAUGAUUGAACAUAUAGAAUCCACAUUACGUUUGAAAUUUAGAUGGAAAAUAUCUGUUAAAAUGCAUCAAACAUUUGUAUAUAUAUUUUUGUUUUGGUAAAUGUGUGUGUGUGUGUGUAUAUAUAUAUAUAUAUAUAUAUAUAUAUAUAUAUAUAUAUAUCACACAUCUCUCUCUCUCACAUUCCUAUAUACAAUUGGAUAUGCACAUGUAUGUGCCUAAAUGGAAAUUAUCUUGUGAAAAUAGCACCAACCCGGAUGCAAAUGAUUGACUUAGCCAAGUUGUUCCUACUGCAUAAACAUUAUUAAUUCAUUACUGUACAGAGUGUAAAAGUAAUUAUGAAAUAUUUUAAUAUAUUUUGGUUUUCUAUAUCCUCGAAAAGAAAGAAAAUUUGAAUAAUUUUAUGUGUUGUGAGAUUUUAAUACUUUUUCCCUUUAAACAUUAUUUUCUUUUCACAAAAACACCAUCUCCCCCCUUUUCAAAAAUGCUAUUUCAGCAGAGAGAAUGUUGACUUUGUAGAUCAAUCAUUCGAAACUCAUCAAUUAAUUGCUGAAGUAUUUACUAUUUCAAGACAAAUAAAUCUCUCGUGUCAUCUCUUAUUGCAAUUUUGUGGAAAAGUAUUGAAAAAUUAAUUGAUUGCUUAGAAAUCAUUAAGUUGGCUAUGAAAAUCAUCUCAUUAAGAAAGACUAUACACUCUAAAUGGAGAGUGGAAAGUAAAAUGUUCUGAUUCUGUCCAAACUAAAACCAAAUAUUUUACAACCAACCACCAAAACAAAUAAUUAAGAGUUAUAAAUUAGUAUUUCAUUCAGCUAUUAUUUCCUGGUAGUAAGAAGUUUAGUGCCUUAAAUGAAAACAUUUAGCCCUGAAUCAGGGAGUUUCAAAAUACCAUCAAUAAUGUUUUUAACUAUAGAUGUUAACCAAGACAUAACAUUAACUGGAAAGUAAGAGAAGUAGAAAUCAGUUAAAAAAAAACAGCAACAAAAAACAGAAAUAAACUUUUCAUAUCAAAAACAGCAGAAAGCAAUGGAGUCAUUUCUCAAAGGAGAAAUACAUUCAUGAAGAGUUUAAUGGUAAACUAUAGAAUUCUACUUGUAAUAAGGUUCAAUGUAAUCAAAUAUGUAAAGUGAUGUAAGCAAAAAUAAGUGCCAAAAAAAUAAGGUAAUAUCUUAAAAUUAUGUGAAUCUAAUUUAAAACAAAUAGUGAAAGAGAUUCUUGAUAUGGGAAAAUAGUUUGAGACAUGCCUAAGGAGUUCAAUGUGUUUAUAAUACAGUUAGUAAACAAAGUUUGUAGGAAAUUGACAUAAAUGAAAAGAAAUCUGAUGAUGAUGAGAAAGAAACACAAGUAGAUAUCAAAAGUUAUGAUGCUUUUUGUGAAAAUUCCAGUUACUGCAAUCAUUGAUCUGCAUCUUCAGAAACCUCUCUUCUAAAUGAAGAUAUAGAAUAAUCAGACCUGAGGUUGGCCUUCUCAACAUGUUUUCAGCUGAUUUCCCAUCAGUUACAACAUCAACAAAUAAGUAUUAGAUUCAAAUUUGAUUUAUAUUGAAUUCGUAGAUAUAAUUAAGUACACACAGAUAUGCGGAAAACAAAUAAAAGAGAGGUUAUGUAUCAGGAUAAGGGGAAAGGAGCUGCUCAGUAUCGACCACAAUGUACAAAUAAGUCAAAAAGACUUAUUGUUAGUGGGCACGUAAAUAAUGAAUCUGUAAUCCGUAAAGAUAAUGUAAAAGAGAAACAUUUGACAUCUCAGAUGGAUAGAAUACAUUUAGGAGAUGGUUGUUUCAAAACUAAAGUAAGUCAACAAAACAAUGUUAAAGAAAGCCACACUUCUGAGAAUCAAUUGAAAUCAGAAACUGGUUAUGAUGUGGACAAGGACAACCCUGAAGGAUGUAAAGGAAGAGAAAACACCUACCUUUUCCCUCUUGAAUAUGGCAAUAACUCAAGGAGAAGAUCUGACUGUAGUGAACUAAAGAGAAAAAGAAAAAUUCUUUUAUCCCCAAGACAAGUUUUAUAUUUGAGAAAGAAUUUUCAAGACAAAAGCGCACCAACAUUUUCUCGCUAAUUCCUCAGUGAGGUAGGUCGUCACGAUGGAAUUCGGAUCUUCGGAACGAGAGCAGUUUUAUUCCGCUAUGCAUUCGCAGUGAGGAGGGAAUUGUCAGGAGAGAUUCUUGUCGCCAUGCUUUGUGCUGUUCCCACGCACAUCAUCUUCAAGAAGCACGAGGAUCCUAUGUAUUUUAAUUAACAGAAUUGUUCAUGUAUGCCAGUUGCUGUAUUUUCUUUUAGCGCCGAAAUAAAUGUGGCAGUCAACUUUAA
This is a long non-coding RNA of Octopus bimaculoides (California two-spot octopus), 4901 nucleotides long. The record is from RefSeq and is a predicted model, not a curated record. NCBI's taxonomy places the organism in Eukaryota, Metazoa, Mollusca, Cephalopoda, Octopoda, Octopodidae.